RNAcentral lists this long non-coding RNA (2370 nucleotides) under Sparus aurata (gilthead seabream). Its description in RNAcentral is "lncRNA (ENSSAUG00010012067.1)". Lineage: Eukaryota; Metazoa; Chordata; Actinopteri; Spariformes; Sparidae. The record is from RNAcentral.
GUCAUUUUGCUCAAAGUAAUAGUGUAUUUCAUUUUGUCACCUGUCAUUAUAAGUUCUGGGGAAAAAACAUGAUGCAUCAGGGAGAGAAAGGAAGUCAGCAAACAUGACUCAACAUAACGUGAAUAAAAACUUAAAAACAUGACCUCUUCUGUGAACAUUUUCAGCCAUUUAAGAGUUUGUUCAGGAGCUUUCAAUGUUUUUCCAUGGUCCUUAUCAGCAGAUGGAGUUAACUAACACCAACUUAUCCUAACAAGUCAAGUUUCUUUUAUCUUGGUCUGUGUCAGGAUGACAUCUGUAGAGAAUACUACAGACCUGAUGGAGUCUGCAGAGGAUCAGAUGGAGAUGAUCACAGAAAAACUCGACCGGAUCCUCAGAGAGUCCGUGGACAUCUCCUCCUUCAACUUGGCUGAUCCUACACUGUUGUCUGAUUUAGAGGAACUGGACGACAGACUGCAAUCAGAAAUGAGAAAGCUAUCAGAACGAGUCUCUGAAGAGGAAACACAAGGGCCAGACGCCACAUCCCCCUCACUCGUCUGCCUGGCUCUCCACAACAGUGUCCAUCAUCUGGAGCAGCUCCGACAGCGGCUGGAGAGAGUUCAGUCAGCUGCCCAGGCUCUGGAUCACUUCCUGGCCACAGUGAAGGAAGUCAAGGCUGAUAUCCCAAAACUGCUGGCAAACCAGGAACCCAGCAGACAGCAGAAUGAUGCAGACUGGGAGCAGCAGAGACACUCUUGGCAGGCAGCAAUGCAGCAGAAGUUGCAGACUGCUGCGGAACAAUCUGAUAGUGUUGACAGCACUUUAAAGGCAGUGGGGAUGACUCUGACCAUGGAUGGUGCAACAGUGGCGUGCCAGGAUGUGUUGACAUCAUUGUCCCAGCAAGCCGUGGAUGUGGGAAAAGAGCUGAUGAGUGUCAGGAGGAGGGAGAGAAAAGAUGAGCUGUUUCCAAUGGGAAAGGAGCAGAUCCAGGAGUUGAAUCCUCUGGAAAUAGGUCAGAUAAAAAAUGGGGAUGAUUCAUCACGGGAGCAGCAGCAUCCAACUACAAGUAGGAUGGAAGAGGGGUCAGGGAUAGAGGCCAAAAGGAGUAGGCUGGAGGUAGAUACAAAGACACAAAGGGAGGAAGAGGCUGAAACAUGGAAGUCUGAUGGGGGUCUCGCAGAAGCCAAAGACCAGAGAAGAAGGAGAAGCAGCCAAGUGAAAAAAGAGGAAGAAGAGAAGGAGAGUUUGGCCCGAAGGAGAGGUGCUUUGUUAGGCACACUGAGGGAGAUAAAGGAGGCAGCUGAGCAGCUGGGGUUACAGGAGCCCACCCUGCCUGCUCUGCAACAGAGGUACAACACUGAUCUGGGUCAUAAAACAAAUCAUUCCAAGUACGGGUGAACAAUUAAUCAAAAUGUUAUCGAAAUUGUAUUAUAUUAUACUCCCAUUGUCUAGUAAUGAUUGUGUCCUCCUCUGUAGGACACGUGCCUUGACUGAGCUGAAAAGUCGUCUUGCUGGCCACCUCGCUGAGCUGCAGUACAUACGAGAUGCGUCUUCACAGUCAGAAAUCCCUGAUGUGAGUCAAACCCCAGAAAUGGAGGAUGUCUGGGAGGAGGUGACAAAAGCUGUAGCUGAAAGGUAAAGAGACCAAGUUCACUCCAUUGUGAUUUGCUUUGAUGACUUAUAGUUGUUUGCUGAGUUUGUGUUUGUCGCAUUAUGGUUCACAUGCAGGCUGGAGCGGUGUGAUAUCCUAACAAAGCUGCUGAAGAGGUUUCAGAGCAUUCGUGGUGAGCUGAGUUGGACACUGCAGAGAGCAGAGAGUACCAUCAGUGAACAAGCUUCCUACAUGGGGAGAGACAACCUGCACCGACUGCAGACUAAGGUAUACCACAGUUAAAUUGAGAUGAUGAAACGAAAUCAAAAUAAUUUCCUUGUCGCUGGCAAAUUGUUGACUACUCUGUGUGUUUCUUAGGUCCAGGAAACAAAAGCAGAGCUUACCAACCUUGGUGACAGCAUAGAGGAGGUCCGCAGUGUCUGCAGGCAGCUUCAAACUCAUUUACGUCACCUCCCAGAAUGCACCAUCGUCCCAUAUGAGGGAGAAGCGGAUGCUCUAAUGGACCGCUGGCUGGAUGUGAGUUCUGUCACUUUAAGGGUGCACUAUGUUGUGUGUGUGUGUAUAUACAUAUAUAUCUGUAUACAUAUAGUAUUUUGACUCUUUCAAAACAAAGCAGAAUAACUGACAGGUAAGAAAAAGAGAAGUUGAAGGCUGAGACAAAUACAAAAAACUUGAGGAGAAAAACUAAACUUAACCGAGAACAAACCAGUAAGACACAAGGAGACACAGGAAUACAGAUGAAAGAUAAGCUGCAAAUGUAAACAGACUGAUGACUGAAAAAG